Molecule: ribosomal RNA, 502 nt
Filed under: [Candida] sp. ST-390
Lineage: Eukaryota; Fungi; Ascomycota; Saccharomycetes; Saccharomycetales
Description: eukaryotic LSU rRNA
Rfam family: Eukaryotic large subunit ribosomal RNA
Source: RNAcentral
AAACCAACAGGGAUUGCCUUAGUAGCGGCGAGUGAACCGGCAAAAGCUCAGAUUUGAAAGCCUUUUUGGCAUUGUAUUCUGAAGCCUUGGUCCUGGGACCUGGUGCUUAAGUCUUCUGGAAAGGAGCGCCAUGGAGGGUGAUAGCCCCGUGAAGCACUAACCCCAUUGUAGGAUCUUGGCAUGGAGUCGAGUUGUUUGGGAAUGCAGCUCAAAUGGGUGGUAUGCUCCAUCUAAAGCUAAAUAUCUGCGAGAGACCGAUAGCGAACAAGUACUGUGAAGGAAAGAUGAAAAGAACUUUGAAAAGAGAGUGAAAUAGUACGUGAAAUUGUUGAAAUGGAAGGAUAGGCCGCUAACCACGCAGAGUCGUGUUUAGGGGGAGGACAAAAGCUGAUAUACUGCAUCAUUCUUCGGAGUGGUGUCGUUGCGGUGCAUACUCCCACCUGGGCGCGAGGAUCUAAGACUCUGCUAAAUGGUGGUCUAUCACCCGUCUUGAAACACGGAC